AUGCCUGCAAACAAGACUUACCCCUCCCAUAAAAAUGCCAACGGUGAGGUGGACGACGAAUUCUACCCAUUAAUCCGCAAGUACAAGGACGGCCGGAUCGAGCGGUUCAUGAGCUCAUUCGUGCCGGCGUCGGAGGACCCGGCGGCCAGCCGUGGUGUGGCGACGAGGGACGUCGUCGUCGACCAGGGCACCGGUGUGUCCGUGCGCCUGUUCCUUCCUGCCCAGGCUGCCGAGGCCGGCGCGAGGCUCCCCCUUGUUGUGUACGUCCAUGGUGGUUCCUUCUGCACGGAGAGUGCCUUCUCCCGGACGUACCACCGUUACGCCACUUCCCUCGCCGCCAGCGCAGGGGCGCUCAUCGUGUCCGUGGAGUACCGUCUGGCGCCGGAAUAUCCCGUGCCGACGUCCUACGAUGACACAUGGGCCGCGCUGCGGUGGGUGGCGUCCUUGUCCGACCCUUGGCUCGCCAAAUACGCAGACCCUAGCCGCACGUUCCUCGCCGGCGACAGCGCUGGCGGCAACAUCGUGUACCACACGGCCGUGCGCGCCACACAUGAUGACAGCAUCAUGGACAUCCAGGGGUUGGUCAUGGUGCAUCCAUUCUUCUGGGGGCCCGAGCGUCUCCCGGCGGAGAAGGUCUUGGACGGCGACGCCAUGUUCCCACCAGUGUGGGUGGAUAAGCUGUGGCCGUUCGUGACGGCGGGCGGGGCUGGCAACGAUGAUCCUCGGAUCAAUCCUCCGGACGAGGAGAUCGCGUUGCUAACUGGCAGGCGGGUGCUUGUGGCCGUUGCAGAGAAGGACACCCUGCGCGACCGGGGGCGCCAGUUUGUGUGCAGCAUGCGCAGGUGUGGGUGGGUUGAUGGCAGCCUCACCGUGGUGGAGUCGGAGGGUGAGGACCAUGGCUUCCACUUGUACGCCCCCCUACGUGCGACCAGCAAGAAGCUUAUGAAGAGCAUCGUGCAGUUCAUAAACCAUCGCGCCACCUUGCCGUCACCGGCCAUGGUGAUCCCAGAAGGCUCGGCCGAAACUAUGCUAGGCGUCCCUAGUAGGCCAUUUAAGGACAUAUUUGGCUACGGGAUGCGCAUGAAACGUUGGAGUGGCACGAGUUUUGGGCUCAAAGUUGGUCGUGCAAAAGCAUCGACGACGAGCUAUGGGUUACCUUUGAAGCAAGCUCGCACCUUCGGAGACCCUGUUUCAGCACCAACUUCGGUAAGAUUCGUGAUGAGGAACUGUUUCUAG
Molecule: ribosomal RNA, 1236 nt
Filed under: Triticum aestivum (bread wheat)
Lineage: Eukaryota; Viridiplantae; Streptophyta; Magnoliopsida; Poales; Poaceae
Description: partial small subunit ribosomal RNA
Source: RNAcentral